This 291-nucleotide ribosomal RNA is filed under the name Epirrita viridipurpurescens. RNAcentral describes it as "partial 28S rRNA". It matches the Rfam family "Eukaryotic large subunit ribosomal RNA", at positions 95 to 367 of the family's 3401-position model. The record is from RNAcentral. Lineage: Eukaryota; Metazoa; Arthropoda; Insecta; Lepidoptera; Geometridae.
GAACAGGAAAGAGCCCAGCACUGAAUCCCGCCGUUGUAACGGCGGCGGGAGAUGUGGUGUUCGGGAGGUUCCGCUUUCUUGUCGUCGUCCACUCCUGUCCAAGUUCGUCUUGAACGGGGCCCAUUUCCCAUAGAGGGUGCCAGGCCCGUAGCGACGGAGGACGUCGGCGAGAGGGACUCUCCUCAGAGUCGGGUUGCUUGAGAGUGCAGCCCUAAGUGGGUGGUAAACUCCAUCUAAGGCUAAAUAUUACCGCGAGACCGAUAGCGAACAAGUACCGUAAGGGAAAGUUGA